AUGAGCUGCCCUGCUGGCUCCCCAGGGACUGCGUCCCGCCAGCCAGAUCACCCGGCUACUGCGGUCCCUUUGUGCAAGGGCCCUGGGCCCAGAGCCCAGCAGGAGUCUGAGAAGCUGUGCAGCCAUAGACCAGGCUUGGAAGGAAAAGAGCUGGGAGAAUGUUUUAGGCUCAUUUUGGUUUCAAAAGAGAGCUGCACAAAUUGCCCUCAGGAGACCAGGUGGAGGGUCCUUCCGGGGAUGUGUGUUCACUCUUGCCACAGCUGGAGGAAGCAGGCCCUGAGUCUUGCACUGCAAAGUGAUGAGAAGGAAGCCCUGGUUAUGCUGGACUUGAAGACAUGCCUGCCGGAAGGGUAACAGGAUAUGGAUGAACUGUGAAAAAUCUCUGCUACAAAGGGAAUGGUUGGAUACACUGUAGUUCUGUCUAACUAUGGAAUAGUAUGUAUUCCUAACAAAAUGAGUUAGACUGAUGCUGGGAAGAUUGCUUGUGGUCUAGUAAGUGAUUAGCAAGUGGCAGAGUGAGAUGCAUACAAUUACCCACGGAACACAACAGCCAACAAACAUCUGCAUGUGCAAGCAUUUCUGUUUGUAUGAGCACGUGUGGAGGGACACAUUGGUACAUCAGGAAGGGGAAUUGAAUGAGGGCUGGGGAUAUUGCAUUAACUUUAAAAAUAUGUGUAUUGGCCGGGCGCGGUGGCUCACGCCUGUAAUCCCAGCACCUUGGGAGGCCGAGGCAGGUGGAUCACGAGGUCAGGAGAUGGAGACCAUCCUGGCUAACACGGUGAAACCUCGUCUCCACUAAAAAAUACAAAAAAUUAGCCGGGCGUAGUGGCGGGUGCCUAUAGUCCCAGCUACUCGGGAGGCUGAGGCAGGAGAAUGUUGUGAACCCAGGAGGCGAAGCUUGCAGUGAGCUGAGAUGGCGCCACUG
RNAcentral lists this long non-coding RNA (925 nucleotides) under Piliocolobus tephrosceles (Ugandan red Colobus). Its description in RNAcentral is "lncRNA (ENSPTEG00000028123.1)". The record is from RNAcentral. Lineage: Eukaryota; Metazoa; Chordata; Mammalia; Primates; Cercopithecidae.